This 3021-nucleotide unclassified non-coding RNA is filed under the name Hevea brasiliensis (rubber tree). The record is from RNAcentral. Lineage: Eukaryota; Viridiplantae; Streptophyta; Magnoliopsida; Malpighiales; Euphorbiaceae.
UCUCGACAGGCAAGGCUCUCAAGGGUAAGGGGAUCAACUUGAUUAUGCCAGAGUUUACAAGACCAAUCAAGGAAAUUACCACUUAAAUUACGAGCUAUAACAGCAGUAGCUCCAACCCUCCUAUGUAUGUCAAUGGCAGCAUCAAAGUUUAAUUUAAAAAAUAUAGGAGGAGGAGGUUGCCAAGAAGGUGAAUUUGAGAUAACCGGUGCUUGUUGAUGCAGGGGGAUCUUGAGCUAUCAGAAAUUCUUCAAGGUGAGAUUGAGCAAAAAGUAGUGCUUGCUGGUAACUUAGGAAAUGGUGUUGAAAAAUGGCUUUGCAUCUACUUUUCCACAGAUGCCAAAGUGUAAAUGCAGCGGUUUGAAUGAGUUCCAUACCAUUCUCAUAAUGAAUUAGAGGGUCACAAAUCCCCAACCAGCAAUCAAUCAUGGAACUAUGGGUAAGUAAGGCAGAUCUAAUUCUCAAGGGAGAAUGUAACCAAACAGCGGCAGAGUGAGGGCAGCAGUAAAAGAGAUGCUCCAAUGUUUCUCUAUUGCCACAAAAGAUGCAAUCUGAAGCAAGAUUUGGAAAACGUCUAUUUAUUAAUGUAUUGACUGGAAUUCUUUCUUUAAGUAAACCCCAAAGAAAUAACAGAAUAUUUUUCGGGAGAUUAAGAUUUCAAAAACUUUUCCAGAAGGCAACAUUAUUUCUUUUGACAAUUCGGCCCUGGACCAGCAGCUAAGGAAUGAGAAUUUGCAUUAUUGAGCUGGUAUGCAAUUCGAUAGCCAGAUUUAACUGUGAAAAUUCAUCUCCUGUCAAAAUGCCACACCAGCUUAUCCUCACAUCGAAGAAAUCCCACUGGAAUGGCCAUAAUGUGUGCAAAAUCCUCCUCAUAAAAAUUUUCCUUAAGCCUCCUAAUAUUCCAAGAGUUGGAAACUUCAUCUAUGAGUUGUGAUACCCAAACAAUGGAGGCAUUAUGGUUGUUAAUAACACGGGCUGGAUGAGGAAAAAUAUUAGGAAUCCAUUUGUCUUCCUUACACAUGAUCGAUAAACCAUUCCCAAGAUGCCAUCUGAGACCUUGUUGGAGGACCUUUCGACCCCAAAGGAUACUUUGCCAUCCCCAUGAUGGUCUGCUACCCAGGCGAGCUUGCAUAAAGGAGGUUGAAGGAAAGUAUUUCCCUUUCAAUAACUGAGAUAGAAGCGAUGUAGGAUUAGAAAGAAUUCUCCAGCCUUGCUUUGCUAGGAGAGCCAUAUUGAAGCUCUCCAGCUCUCGAAUGCCCAACCCACCAUUCUCUUUGGAAGAGCAAAGUUCAUUCCAUGAAACCCAAUGCAUUUUUCUUCCCUCCUAUUGCUGGCCCCACCAAAAAUUAGCCACAAUUCGAUUAAUUUGUUUGCAAAGCCCUAAAGAAAGUUUUAAACAGCACAUAACAUAUACUGGAACUGCGGAUGUAACUGCUUUGAUGAGCACCUCCCUACCACCCUUAGAUAGAAGCUUUUCUUUCCAGCCAGCUGCUUUCUGGGAAAUGCGAUCCCGAAUUGCCAUAAAAGCUUGAGAUUUGGACCUAGGAAUUUCCGCCGGAAGACCAAGGAAUUUGUCUUGACCAUCAAUAUUGGUAAUGUUAAGAAGGGAAGCAAUGCGAUGUCUAAUACUAGCUGGAGUGUUGGAGCUGAAGACUAUAGCAGAUUUGUUCAAAUUGAUGGUCUGUCCACUGGCCACCGAAAAAUCUUGAAGAACUUGCUUAAUGACUUGUGCAUUUUCCGGUGAAGCUUUAGGAAAAAGAAUUGAAUCAUCAGCAAAAAGGAGGUGUGUGAUAGAAGGUCCAUAUCUAGAGAUAGAUAAGCCCUGCAAGGGAAAAGUUUUGAUAGCAUGGGAAAGACCUUUCAUGCAAAAUAAGAAUAAACAUGGAGAUAAAGGAUCUCCCUGUCUAAGGCCUCUUGAAGGGUUAAAAUGACCAUGACGAUGACCAUUAAUCUGGAGAGAAAAGGAGAUAGUAGUGACACACUGUAGGAUCCACCCAAUCCAUUUCUCAUGAAACCCAAAGCAUUGUAGCAUGUGUUGGAGGAAAGGUCAUUCAAUGCACUCAUAGGCUUUACUGAUGUCCAACUUCACUGGCAUACCGUGAUUUUUCCCUUGCUUCCUUAGCUUGAGGCUAUGAAGGAGUUCAUGACUUAUGAUAAUCUUGUCCGAAAUCAGCCUCCCUUUAAUAAAAGCACUCUGCUCGACACCAAUGAAAGAAUCCAUGAAGGGUUGCAGACGGAUGGUUAGGAUCUUAGCUAUGAUUUUAUAGAAUACAUUACAAAGACCAAUUGGUCUUAAAUCUUUCAUGGACUGCACAUGUUUCACUUUUGGAAUCAGGGUGAUGAUAGUGUGGUUGAAGUUUCUCAGCAUUCUGCUACCAUGGAAGAAGCCCUGAAUAGCCCGACAGAUGUUUUCGCCUAUGAUAUGCCAAUACUUUUGAAAGAAGAGACCAGUUAAACCAUCCUCUCCUGGAGCUUUGGAAGGGUGAAUAGAGAAGGUAGCUGUCUUGAUUUCCUCUGAAGUUACAUCUUGAAUAAGAUGUAUAUUCACCUCAUCAGUAACUCGUUUACGGAACCCUUCUGUGAUAACAUGAAGAUUUGAAGGACCUUUAGUUUCAUAAAUAGAUUGGAAAUAGUCAAGAGCAAUACCUUGAAUGUCUUCUAAGGACGGUUUCCAAGAACCACGAUUGUCCAGUAAUCCUGUAAUAAGAUUACUGCGACGUCUUUGGAUUACCUUAGCAUGGAAAAAAUCUGUGUUCUGAUCACCAGCUUUUAACCAUUGUUGCCUAGCCUUCUGGGCCCAGAAUUGUUCUUCUUUCACAAUUUCCAUCAACCGUUGGAUCAAACUGAAAAUGACAAUCCAAUCCCAAGCCCCCGGCUUCAUGAACCAGAACUCUCGAUUCCGACUCAGAACCAAACCUUUGCCAGGACUACUUGCCUAGGUAAAUGAAGGUGUCAUUGUAGCCAAAAGAAAAUACAAAACAUCCCAUGUCUCAAGAAAGAUCGAGAUAUUGGAUAGAAAGAAGC